ACUCCUACGGGAGGCAGCAGUGGGGAAUAUUGCGCAAUGGGCGAAAGCCUGACGCAGCGACGCCGCGUGAGGGAAGAAGGCCUUCGGGUCGUAAACCUCUGUCAGGAGGGAAGAAGUGGAGUAUGGCUAAUAUCCAUGCUCUUUGACGGUACCUCCGGAGGAAGCACCGGCUAACUCCGUGCCAGCAGCCGCGGUAAU
Molecule: ribosomal RNA, 198 nt
Filed under: uncultured bacterium
Lineage: Bacteria
Description: partial 16S ribosomal RNA
Rfam family: Bacterial small subunit ribosomal RNA
Source: RNAcentral